CCCGCUACAGAAACUCAAAUGAAUUGACGGGGCCGCACAAGCGGAGGAGCAUGUGGUUUAAUUCGAUGAUACGCGAGGAACCUACCUGGGCUCGAACGUAAGAUGACUGUAGGUGAAAGCUUACAUCUCUUCGGAGCAUUUUACGAGGUGCUGCAUGGUUGUCGUCAGCUCGUGCCGUGAGGUGUCGGGUUAAGUCCCAUAACGAGCGCAACCCCUACCUUUAGUUGCCAUCAGGUUAAGCUGGGGACUCUAAAGGAACUGCCUACGCAAGUAGUGAGGAAGGCGGGGAUGACGUCAAAUCAGCACGGCCCUUACGUCCAGGGCUACACACGUGCUACAAUGGCCGAUACAGAGGGCAGCUACCUGGUGACAGGAUGCAAAUCUCCAAAGUCGGUCUCAGUUCGGAUCGGAGUCUGCAACCCGACUCCGUGAAGUUGGAUUCGCUAGUAAUCGCGCAUCAGCCAUGGCGCGGUGAAUACGUUCCCGGGCCUU
This 492-nucleotide ribosomal RNA is filed under the name uncultured Sphingobacteriales bacterium. Its description in RNAcentral is "bacterial SSU rRNA". It matches the Rfam family "Bacterial small subunit ribosomal RNA", at positions 887 to 1382 of the family's 1533-position model. Lineage: Bacteria; Pseudomonadati; Bacteroidota; Sphingobacteriia; Sphingobacteriales. The record is from RNAcentral.